UCAGUUCGGAUUGUAGGCUGCAACUCGCCUACAUGAAGUUGGAAUCGCUAGUAAUCGCGAAUCAGAAUGUCGCGGUGAAUACGUUCCCGGGUCUUGUACACACCGCCCGUCACACCACGAGAGUUUACAACACCCGAAGUCAGUGGCCUAACCGCAAGGAGGGAGCUGCCUAAGGUGGGGUAGAUGAUUGGGGUGAAGUCGUAACAAGGUAAC
RNAcentral lists this ribosomal RNA (213 nucleotides) under uncultured bacterium. Its description in RNAcentral is "partial 16S ribosomal RNA". It matches the Rfam family "Bacterial small subunit ribosomal RNA", at positions 1288 to 1500 of the family's 1533-position model. The record is from RNAcentral.